RNAcentral lists this non-coding RNA (231 nucleotides) under Ligilactobacillus equi. RNAcentral's name for it is "Lactobacillus equi T-box sequence". It matches the Rfam family "T-box leader". From Rfam's summary of the family: Uncharged tRNA acts as the effector for transcription antitermination of genes in the T-box leader family. T-boxes are found upstream of many aminoacyl-tRNA synthetase genes and some amino acid biosynthetic genes usually in Gram-positive bacteria. Lineage: Bacteria; Bacillati; Bacillota; Bacilli; Lactobacillales; Lactobacillaceae. The record is from RNAcentral.
CAAAACGCAAUGAAUUGUACUAGUAAUUAAGGAACUGCCUCAAGAGAGAUAACGGUUGGUGUAAGUUAUUGGCAGGGAAUUAAUGAACUCACCAAGGAGCGGUAUUCCUGAAAAUAGUAGGGAAUGACGGGGUCGCUGCCGUUAACCAAGCACAGGUUGUUAGACCAAGAGCAUUUCAUUGAUUGAAAUGAAGAAGAGUGGUAUCGCGGAAGUUGUCCUUUCGUCUCUUCU